RNAcentral lists this ribosomal RNA (491 nucleotides) under uncultured bacterium. RNAcentral describes it as "partial 16S ribosomal RNA". It matches the Rfam family "Bacterial small subunit ribosomal RNA", at positions 29 to 506 of the family's 1533-position model. The record is from RNAcentral.
AGUGAACGCUGGCGGUAGGCCUAACACAUGCAAGUCGAACGGCAGCACAGUAAGAGCUUGCUCUUACGGGUGGCGAGUGGCGGACGGGUGAGGAAUACAUCGGAAUCUACUUUUUCGUGGGGGAUAACGUAGGGAAACUUACGCUAAUACCGCAUACGACCUACGGGUGAAAGCAGGGGAUCUUCGGACCUUGCGCGAUUGAAUGAGCCGAUGUCGGAUUAGCUAGUUGGCGGGGUAAAGGCCCACCAAGGCGACGAUCCGUAGCUGGUCUGAGAGGAUGAUCAGCCACACUGGAACUGAGACACGGUCCAGACUCCGACGGGAGGCAGCAGUGGGGAAUAUUGGACAAUGGGCGCAAGCCUGAUCCAGCCAUACCGCGUGGGUGAAGAAGGCCUGCGGGUUGUAAAGCCCUUUUGUUGGGAAAGAAAAGCAGCAGGUUAAUACCCCGCUGUUCUGACGGUACCCAAAGAAUAAGCACCGGCUAACUUCGU